UACUCAGCUUGAUGUGCUCCACCCCCAUCUCUUCAUCUAGGGUCUUUCAUGCAAUCAUUGUUUUGUCUUUGGAUUGAUUAAUGGUGGUUUAGAACUCGAAUCUCAAGGAAACUCAUACCACGAGCCCAUAUUUGUUUUCUAGAAUUAUGCAUGCACCGCUUUCCCAUUUGUAAAAUGAUAUGUCCAUGAAUAUUACCUAGGUAUGAUCCGGAACUAGAGUGAUGAGAGUCAUUUCAGAC
Molecule: long non-coding RNA, 239 nt
Filed under: Lathyrus oleraceus (garden pea)
Lineage: Eukaryota; Viridiplantae; Streptophyta; Magnoliopsida; Fabales; Fabaceae
Description: Pisum sativum (pea) long non-coding RNA (PSAT_LNC033253)
Source: RNAcentral